This 253-nucleotide ribosomal RNA is filed under the name uncultured bacterium. Its description in RNAcentral is "partial 16S ribosomal RNA". It matches the Rfam family "Bacterial small subunit ribosomal RNA", at positions 524 to 776 of the family's 1533-position model. The record is from RNAcentral.
UACGGAGGAGGCAAGCGUUAUCCGGAAUUACUGGGCGUAAAGGGUGCGUAGGCGGUUCGUUAAGUCUGUCGUGAAAUCCCCGGGCUCAACCUGGGAAUGGCGAUGGAUACUGGCGAGCUAGAGUGUGUCAGAGGAUGGUGGAAUUCCCGGUGUAGCGGUGAAAUGCGUAGAUAUCGUGAGGAACACCAGAGGCGAAGGCGGUUACCUGGACAGUUACUGACGCUCAGGCACGAAAGCGUGGGGAGCAAAAGGG